CGGGUACGGGCCAUGGGAGUGGUAGCCCGGAGAUGGAUUCUGAGACACGAAUCCAGGCCCUACGGGUCGCAGCAGGCGCGAAAACUUCGCAAUGCGCGAAAGCGCGACGAGGGGAUUCCAAGUGCAUGCACUCAGUGUAUGCUGUUUUCCAGUCUAAAUAGCUGGGAGAGUAUGGGCUGGGUAAGACUGGUGCCAGCCGCCGCGGUAAUACCAGCGGCCCUAGUGGUGAUCGUUAUUAUUGGGCCUAAAGCGUCCGUAGCCGGCUCGGUAAAUCUCUGGGUAAAUCGAUAGGCUUAACUUAUCGAAUUCUGGGGAGACUGCCGGGCUUGGGAUCGGGAGAGGUCGGAGGUACUCCAGGGGUAGGGGUGAAAACCUGUAAUCCUUGGGGGACCACCGGUGGCGAAGGCGUCCGACCAGAACGAGUCCGACGGUAAGGGACGAAGCCCUGGGGCGCAAACCGGAUUAGAUACCCGGGUAGUCCAGGGUAUAAACGCUGUGCGCUUGGUGUUGGGGGUCCUACGAGGGCACCCAGUGCCGGAGAGAAGUUGUUAAGCGCACCGCCUGGGGAGUACGGUCGCAAGACUGAAACU
This 590-nucleotide ribosomal RNA is filed under the name uncultured archaeon. RNAcentral's name for it is "bacterial SSU rRNA". It matches the Rfam family "Archaeal small subunit ribosomal RNA", at positions 264 to 856 of the family's 1478-position model. The record is from RNAcentral.